This 221-nucleotide ribosomal RNA is filed under the name uncultured bacterium. RNAcentral describes it as "partial 16S ribosomal RNA". It matches the Rfam family "Bacterial small subunit ribosomal RNA", at positions 326 to 539 of the family's 1533-position model. The record is from RNAcentral.
ACGCUCGACACCUACGGAGCAGCAGUAGGGAAUCUUCCACAAUGGGCGCAAGCCUGAUGGAGCAACACCGCGUGAGUGAAGAAGGGUUUCGGCUCGUAAAGCUCUGUUGUUGGAGAAGAACGUGCGUGAGAGUAACUGUUCACGCAGUGACGGUAUCCAACCAGAAAGUCACGGCUAACUACGUGUCAGCAGCCGCGGUAAUCUGAGCGGGCUGGCAAGGC